Long non-coding RNA from Capra hircus (goat), 913 nucleotides. RefSeq lists it as uncharacterized. The record is from RefSeq and is a predicted model, not a curated record. The transcript is spliced from 5 exons. Lineage: Eukaryota; Metazoa; Chordata; Mammalia; Artiodactyla; Bovidae.
CAGGAGUUGGUGAUAGACAGGGACGCCUGGCGUGCUGUGAUUCAUGCGGUUGCCAAGAGUUGGACACGACUGAGCGACCGAACUGAACUGAACUGAUAGGUGUACUAUAUCAUCUCCAGUAAAGGAUUAAUUUUGAAGAAAUUGCCCAACUUUUCCAAACUGGCUGUACCAUUUUGUAUUCCAGGAAGCAAUACAUGAGUGGUCCAGUUGCUCCACAUCUUUACCAGCACUUGACGUUGUCGAACAUGGUCUGGCAUAUGAUAGAUGCUCACGAAAGGCUGUGGAAUGAGGAAACCCAGUGGAUGGUGAGCUCCUGGAAGCAGAGAAUGCCUUGUUCACCACUGUAUCUUCAACUCUUCACCAAGUGUUUAUAGUUCUAGGCAUUCCAGGAAUCUGUGGCGAAUGACUGAAUGAAUGAAAUCAAGGGAAUCAUGAAAAGAGGAAAAAAGAAUCCAAAUUCAUUGAGAUUUACGAAAACAUGGACUGAAAGAGCACUCCAAUAAAUUCCAUAUCAAGUAGACCCUGAAGCCAACUCUAAAAGAAGAAAAAGAAAUAAAAAACAGUACAGUCAAUCCCAAGGAUGACGUCUGUAAAACAUCAGCUUGGAAUCCCCAACACAAUCCCACAAUGUCAGAAACGCACUGUGGUAACACCAUUACAUCAGCUCUCUGAGAAUAAGUAAUCAAGGAGAUCAAUGCUGGCUCUUUCUGCAAACAUAUCCUUUGUGUGAGCAGUGAUUCAAGAACAUGAAGAAAGAAAAGUACAUAUCUUGAAAAAUGCAGACACUUGCACCAUUCUUCUGAAAAUACUUCCCUAGAAUUCUCCAGAAGUUGUGAUGUUGCAAUAAAAAUAAAACCAGAAAAAGAAUAUGUAUGUAUAACUAAGUCACUUUGCUGUACAGUAGUAAAGCAAU